RNAcentral lists this ribosomal RNA (484 nucleotides) under uncultured bacterium. RNAcentral describes it as "partial 16S ribosomal RNA". It matches the Rfam family "Bacterial small subunit ribosomal RNA", at positions 30 to 507 of the family's 1533-position model. The record is from RNAcentral.
AUUGAACGCUGGCGGCAGGCCUAACACAUGCAAGUCGAGCGGAUGAAGGGAGCUUGCUCCUUGAUUCAGCGGCGGACGGGUGAGUAAUGCCUAGGAAUCUGCCUGGUAGUGGGGGAUAACGUCCGGAAACGGGCGCUAAUACCGCAUACGUCCUGAGGGAGAAAGUGGGGGAUCUUCGGACCUCACGCUAUCAGAUGAGCCUAGGUCGGAUUAGCUAGUUGGUGGGGUAAAGGCCUACCAAGGCGACGAUCCGUAACUGGUCUGAGAGGAUGAUCAGUCACACUGGAACUGAGACACGGUCCAGACUCCUACGGGAGGCAGCAGUGGGGAAUAUUGGACAAUGGGCGAAAGCCUGAUCCAGCCAUGCCGCGUGUGUGAAGAAGGUCUUCGGAUUGUAAAGCACUUUAAGUUGGGAGGAAGGGCAGUAAGUUAAUACCUUGCUGUUUUGACGUUACCAACAGAAUAAGCACCGGCUAACUUCGUG